Molecule: ribosomal RNA, 538 nt
Filed under: Saccharomyces cerevisiae (brewer's yeast)
Lineage: Eukaryota; Fungi; Ascomycota; Saccharomycetes; Saccharomycetales; Saccharomycetaceae
Description: partial large subunit ribosomal RNA
Rfam family: Eukaryotic large subunit ribosomal RNA
Source: RNAcentral
AAGCGGCAAAAGCUCAAAUUUGAAAUCUGGUACCUUCGGUGCCCGAGUUGUAAUUUGGAGAGGGCAACUUUGGGGCCGUUCCUUGUCUAUGUUCCUUGGAACAGGACGUCAUAGAGGGUGAGAAUCCCGUGUGGCGAGGAGUGCGGUUCUUUGUAAAGUGCCUUCGAAGAGUCGAGUUGUUUGGGAAUGCAGCUCUAAGUGGGUGGUAAAUUCCAUCUAAAGCUAAAUAUUGGCGAGAGACCGAUAGCGAACAAGUACAGUGAUGGAAAGAUGAAAAGAACUUUGAAAAGAGAGUGAAAAAGUACGUGAAAUUGUUGAAAGGGAAGGGCAUUUGAUCAGACAUGGUGUUUUGUGCCCUCUGCUCCUUGUGGGUGGGGGAAUCUCGCAUUUCACUGGGCCAGCAUCAGUUUUGGUGGCAGGAUAAAUCCAUAGGAAUGUAGCUUGCCUCGGUAAGUAUUAUAGCCUGUGGGAAUACUGCCAGCUGGGACUGAGGACUGCGACGUAAGUCAAGGAUGCUGGCAUAAUGGUUAUAUGCCGC